AAAAAUUGUCCGGGCAUGGUGGCAGGCACCUAUAAUCCCAGGCAUUCAUCAAAUAGCAUUUUGAUGGGUUUAAAUCAUUUUCCUUGGCCAUUACUGAAGAAGACUGGAGGAUUUAUACUCUCUACAUUGGCCUUCAAAGUGGACAAGUCUUAGGUAGACAAUUGGAGAGGAGAAAAUAAGAACCAUAUUCAAACCUAACAAGCUAAUUCAGGGCAGAUAAAUGGUCUGUAUUAGAAACUUCCACUUGGACUUUCCUAAGAAACCGAAGGGUGAAAUUAUGAAACUAGUGGCAGCCUUACAAAAACAUUUUUUAGGAAGAGUGACAAGAUAUCUUGGGAACUCCUAAGAAUCACUCUGAGGAGUGUUGCUUUCAUAAUGGGGAGCCCGAAAGACCCUGUCAGUAGCAGUGGAGUCACUGGGUGUUCCUGUGUUGAGAAGGCGGUGUGGUAUGUCACAGGGGAGACUCUCCAACUCGUCACUGUGGACCAUGAGAACAGAAGCACCUCUCUCAAGUACCGGAGUUGGAGCCACCUGGGUCUGACUCUUACCUCAGUCAUGGCCCAGCUCUUGAAGUCACAGUCUCCUCAGUGCAAACAGGGAUGAAUCCCUGAGCCUCACAGAUCUUUGUGAGAUGAUUUUCAGCCCUAUAUGAACAGGCCUAACAUGUUUCUAACUCUGUAAGUGCUUACUAUACUGCUAUACUUCUGCUAUGACUAGACAAGACCAUUGCAGAACACAGGAACCGAUCAUUCUAUAGAAACCAAGCAUCUAGUGUGCUAUGCUGUGUCUGGGCCACCUCAAGAAAGCUCUAAGCAUAGGCAGCAUGAGGCAUUCCAGAGAUGACAUGUGAGCAGCAGUGAAGGAGAGAGGCUUCCGUGUGAAGGUGGCCUGAGCCAACCUAGAUUCUUCAGUCUGAAAAGACACAUAGAGAAUGUGACAGAAUCUGUAAAAUAAUAAAGAAAAUGGUGGAGGUAAA
This 976-nucleotide long non-coding RNA is filed under the name Homo sapiens (human). Its description in RNAcentral is "HSALNT0314156". The record is from RNAcentral. Lineage: Eukaryota; Metazoa; Chordata; Mammalia; Primates; Hominidae.